ACUGAACGCUGGCGGCACGCCUAACACAUGCAAGUCGAGCGGUAGCAGUGGUAGUAGCAAUACUACUAGCUGACGAGCGGCGGACGGGUGAGGAAUACGUAGGAAUUUAUCCUUAAGAGGGGGACAACCAAGGGAAACUUUGGCUAAUACCGCAUAAUCUCGAGAGAGGAAAGUUGCCGUAAGGUGACACUUGAGGAGGAGCCUGCGUCCGAUUAGCUAGUUGGUGAGGUAAGAGCUCACCAAGGCGAUGAUCGGUAACUGGUCUGAGAGGACGACCAGUCACACUGGGACUGAGACACGGCCCAGACUCCUACGGGAGGCAGCAGUGGGGAAUAUUGGACAAUGGGGGCAACCCUGAUCCAGCGAUGCCGCGUGAGUGAAGAAGGCCUUCGGGUCGUAAAGCUCUUUAGGUUGGGAAGAAGGUUAGUGGAGGAUAAUGCUGCUAACUUGACGGUACCGACAGAAUAAGCACCGGCAAACUCUGUGCCAGCAGCCGCAGUAA
RNAcentral lists this ribosomal RNA (502 nucleotides) under uncultured bacterium. Its description in RNAcentral is "partial 16S ribosomal RNA". It matches the Rfam family "Bacterial small subunit ribosomal RNA", at positions 30 to 523 of the family's 1533-position model. The record is from RNAcentral.